UUCCUACGGGGGGCUGCAGUCGAGAAUCUUCGGCAAUGGACGAAAGUCUGACCGAGCGACGCCGCGUGCGGGAUGAAGGCCCUCGGGUUGUAAACCGCUGUCAGAGGGGAUGAAAUGCGCAUGGGUUCUCCCAUACGCUUGACAGAGCCUCAGAGGAAGCACGGGCUAAGUACGUGCCAGCAGCCGCGGUGAUACGUACUGUGCGAACGUUAUUCGGAAUUACUGGGCUUAAAGGGUGUGUAGGCGGCUGAUUAAGUAGGGUGUGAAAGGCUCCGGCCUACCCGGAGCAUUGCGCUCUAAACUGAUCGGCUUGAGUGAGAUAGGGGUGUGCGGAACUUCCAGGGGAGCGGUGAAAUGUGUUGAUAUUGGAAGGAACGCCGGUGGCGAAAGCGGCACACUGGGUCUUAACUGACGCUGAGACACGAAAGCCAGGGGAGCGAACGGGAUUAGAUACCCCUGUAGUCC
Molecule: ribosomal RNA, 465 nt
Filed under: uncultured Planctomyces sp.
Lineage: Bacteria; Pseudomonadati; Planctomycetota; Planctomycetia; Planctomycetales; Planctomycetaceae
Description: bacterial SSU rRNA
Rfam family: Bacterial small subunit ribosomal RNA
Source: RNAcentral